GGAGAGUUGGCUCAGUGGUUAAGAGCACUGGCUGCUCUUCUAGAAGAUCUGGAUUCAAUUCCCAGACAAUUUA
This 73-nucleotide transfer RNA is filed under the name Mus musculus (house mouse). It matches the Rfam family "tRNA". From Rfam's summary of the family: Transfer RNA (tRNA) molecules are approximately 80 nucleotides in length. Their secondary structure includes four short double-helical elements and three loops (D, anti-codon, and T loops). Further hydrogen bonds mediate the characteristic L-shaped molecular structure. tRNAs have two regions of fundamental functional importance: the anti-codon, which is responsible for specific mRNA codon recognition, and the 3' end, to which the tRNAs corresponding amino acid is attached (by aminoacyl-tRNA synthetases). tRNAs cope with the degeneracy of the genetic code in two manners: having more than one tRNA (with a specific anti-codon) for a particular amino acid; and 'wobble' base-pairing, i.e. permitting non-standard base-pairing at the 3rd anti-codon position. Lineage: Eukaryota; Metazoa; Chordata; Mammalia; Rodentia; Muridae. The record is from Rfam by way of RNAcentral.